This 497-nucleotide ribosomal RNA is filed under the name uncultured bacterium. RNAcentral describes it as "partial 16S ribosomal RNA". It matches the Rfam family "Bacterial small subunit ribosomal RNA", at positions 28 to 507 of the family's 1533-position model. The record is from RNAcentral.
GACGAACGCUGGCGGCGUGCCUAAUACAUGCAAGUUGAGCGCUGAAGGUUGGUACUUGUACCAACUGGAUGAGCAGCGAACGGGUGAGUAACGCGUGGGGAAUCUGCCUUUGAGCGGGGGACAACAUUUGGAAACGAAUGCUAAUACCGCAUAAAAACUUUAAACACAAGUUUUAAGUUUGAAAGAUGCAAUUGCAUCACUCAAAGAUGAUCCCGCGUUGUAUUAGCUAGUUGGUGAGGUAAAGGCUCACCAAGGCGAUGAUACAUAGCCGACCUGAGAGGGGGAGCGGCCAGAUUGGGAGUGAGACACGGCCCAAACGCCUACGGGAGGCAGCAGGAGGGCAUCUUCGGCAAUGGAUGAAAGUCUGACCGAGAAACGCCGCGUGAGUGAAGAAGGAUGUCGGAUCGUAAAACUCUGUUGGUAGGGAAGAACGUUGGUGAGAGUGGAAAGCUCAUCAAGUGACGGUAACUACCCAGAAAGGGACGGCUAACUACGUG